This 440-nucleotide ribosomal RNA is filed under the name uncultured bacterium. RNAcentral's name for it is "partial 16S ribosomal RNA". It matches the Rfam family "Bacterial small subunit ribosomal RNA", at positions 338 to 795 of the family's 1533-position model. The record is from RNAcentral.
CCUACGGGAGGCAGCAGUGGGGAAUAUUGCACAAUGGGCGAAACCCUGAUGCAGCAACGCCGCGUGAGCGAAGAAGGCUUUCGGUAUGUAAACCUCUGUCAUCAAGGAAGAUAAUGACGGUACCUGACUAAGAAGCCCCGGCUAACUACGUGCCAGCAGCCGCGGUAAUACGUAGGGGGCAAGCGUUAUCCGGAUUUACUGGGUGUAAAGGGAGCGUAGGCUGCGUUGUAAGUCAGAAGUAAAAGGCCGGGGCUCAACCCGUAGACUGCUUUUGAAACUGGGUUGCUGGAUUGCAGGAGAGGAGAGUGGAAUUCCUAGUGUAGCGGUGAAAUGCGUAGAUAUUAGGAGGAACACCAGUGGCGAAGGCGGCUUACUGGACUGUAACUGACGCUGAGGCGCGAAAGCGUGGGGAGCAAACAGGAUUAGAUACCCUGGUAGUC